AGGUAGAGGGGUUUUAGUCGGUAGGUCCGAGGACUUCUUCCUCGGGAAUCCGACACUACCCAGUCGUACGGACGGCUGGGUGACUUCUGAAGAUUUCCCCUCUUCC
This is a non-coding RNA of Agrilus planipennis (emerald ash borer), 106 nucleotides long. The record is from Rfam. NCBI's taxonomy places the organism in Eukaryota, Metazoa, Arthropoda, Insecta, Coleoptera, Buprestidae.